UUGACAUGUACGGAACUUGCCAGAGAUGGCUUGGUGCUCGAAAGAGAGCCGUAACACAGGUGCUGCAUGGCUGUCGUCAGCUCGUGUCGUGAGAUGUUGGGUUAAGUCCCGCAACGAGCGCAACCCUUGUCAUUAGUUGCUACGAAAGGGCACUCUAAUGAGACUGCCGGUGACAAACCGGAGGAAGGUGGGGAUGACGUCAAGUCCUCAUGGCCCUUAUGGGUAGGGCUACACACGUCAUACAAUGGCCGGUACAAAGGGCAGCCAACCCGCGAGGGGGAGCCAAUCCCGUAAAGCCGGUCGUAGUCCGGAUCGCAGUCUGCAACUCGACUGCGUGAAGUCGGAAUCGCUAGUAAUCGUGGAUCAGCAUGUCACGGUGAAUACGUUCCCGGGUCUU
This 397-nucleotide ribosomal RNA is filed under the name uncultured Hydrogenophaga sp. Its description in RNAcentral is "bacterial SSU rRNA". It matches the Rfam family "Bacterial small subunit ribosomal RNA", at positions 981 to 1382 of the family's 1533-position model. Lineage: Bacteria; Pseudomonadati; Pseudomonadota; Betaproteobacteria; Burkholderiales; Comamonadaceae. The record is from RNAcentral.